Molecule: ribosomal RNA, 253 nt
Filed under: uncultured bacterium
Lineage: Bacteria
Description: partial 16S ribosomal RNA
Rfam family: Bacterial small subunit ribosomal RNA
Source: RNAcentral
UACGUAGGUGGCAAGCGUUGUCCGGAUUUAUUGGGUUUAAAGGGUGCGUAGGCGGCCUUAUAAGUCAGUGCUGAAAUAUCCCGGCUUAACCGGGAGGGUGGCAUUGAUACUGUAGGGCUUGAGUAGAGUUGAGGUUGGCGGAAUUGACGGUGUAGCGGUGAAAUGCGUAGAUAUCGAGAGGAACACCAGUGGCGAAGGCGAGUCUCUGGACGACUCCUGACACUGAGGCACGAAAGCUAGGGGAGCAAACAGG